UGGGGAAUCUUCCACAAUGGACGCAAGUCUGAUGGAGCAACGCCGCGUGAGUGAAGAAGGGUUUCGGCUCGUAAAGCUCUGUUGUUAAAGAAGAACGUGGGUAAGAGUAACUGUUUACCCAGUGACGGUAUUUAACCAGAAAGCCACGGCUAACUACGUGCCAC
RNAcentral lists this ribosomal RNA (164 nucleotides) under uncultured bacterium. RNAcentral describes it as "partial 16S rRNA". It matches the Rfam family "Bacterial small subunit ribosomal RNA", at positions 355 to 511 of the family's 1533-position model. The record is from RNAcentral.